This 1485-nucleotide ribosomal RNA is filed under the name Triticum aestivum (bread wheat). Its description in RNAcentral is "partial small subunit ribosomal RNA". Lineage: Eukaryota; Viridiplantae; Streptophyta; Magnoliopsida; Poales; Poaceae. The record is from RNAcentral.
AUGGCGAGGGGCGCGAGGCCGGUGCGGUGGCCGCGGGUGCUGGCGCCGGCGCACCUGGCCGGGGCCAUCCGGCGGCAGAAGAGCCCGCACGAGGCGGCGCAGCUGUACGCCGACGCGCCCGGCUGGUACCCGCGCGGCUCCUACCGCCACAGCGACGCCGUCCACGCCUCGCUCCUCGCCGCCGCCUCGUCCUCCCCCGCGCUGCUCCCCUCGCUGCUCCGCCGCGUCCUGCGCCGCUCCCCCUCCGCCGACGCCCUCCUCGCCGCGUCCAUCCCGCACCUCCCUCCCACGGACGCCGCCUCCAUAUUCCGCUCCUCGUUCCCCGCCUCCCCCGCCCCGUCCUGGUCCCUCUCCUUCUCCGCGCUCCUCCGCAGUCUCGUCUCCCGCGGCCUCCUCCCCGAGGCUGCCAGGCUCCUCGACGAAUUCCAGGGGCGCCCUGAGGUGUCCAUAGAGUCCGAAGACCUCACUCUGCUCAUCGAGGAGAUGUGUCGCCUGCAGCGUCCUGACCUCGCGCUCCAGGUGCUCGAGGAAAUGUCUAAUCAGUGUCUUGAGCCAGACAGAGGCGCCUACCGCGCGAUUGUUCCUGCGCUCUGCAAUGCUGGCAUGCUCGACGAGGCUACACACGUCGUCUACUCCAUGUUGUGGCGUGUGUCGCAGCGGGGCUGCGACGGGGAUGUUGUGGUGUUCCGGGCGUUGCUGGUCGCGCUCUGUGCUGCUGGCCGGGGUGAACUGGCAGAGCAAGUGCUGGAUAAGAUUAUCAGGAAGGGGCUGAGGACGCCAGGCAGUAGGCGCUCCCUUCGCGUGCCAAUGCUUGCUGUGCUUACCACCGAGGAUGCCCGGGAAGCCAUUGACCGUGCUUUGGUUGUCCGGGGUGGGAGGACUGUUGCGAGCUUUGAGUCCAUUAUUCUUGAUCUCUACGACGAGGGACGGUUGAAUGAGGCAGCCAAUUUGUUUCAGGACAUGGGCAAAAAGGGGUUCCGGCCGACAAUAUGCAUGUUUGAGGCCAAAAUCAUUGCCUUAUGCAGGGAACAGAGGGUAGAUGAUGCGAUCAAGGUGUUGGAGGAGGAGUUGGCCAAGAAUGGUAUCGUUCCCACUGUGAGAACAUAUAACUUGUUAAUGAAGGGUCUUUGCGAUGCUAUGCAAGCAAUGAAGGCCCUCGGAUACCUUAAAAAGAUGGAUACGCAGCUUGGUUGUGUUGCUCGAAAGGAUACAUUCUCUAUCUUGAUCAGUGGCUUGUGUUCAGAAGGAAAGUUUGUCGAGGCGGCAAGGGUUAUGGAGAGGAUGGUGAAGAACCAGCAUCGUCCUGACAAAAACGAAUUCAGCAUCGUCAUUGAAGGUUUAUGUUCUGUUGGCAGAACAUACGAUGCAUUGGUAUGGCUAGAGGAGAUGGUUGACCAUGGAGAAACACCUGAUGUCCGUGUUUGGUCUUGUUUGGUUUCAUCAUCUUUAGGAGUAGGAGAAAGCGUUAUGGUUGCAGCUAUGUGA